GGUUGGGGUAGGGUUAGUGGUUGGGGUGGGGGUGGGGGCAGGGUUUGGGGUUGGGGUAGGGUUAGUGGUUGGAGUAGGUUUAUGGGUAGGAUUAGGGUAGCCCUAACCCUAUUCCUAACCCUACCCCUAACCCUACUCCUAACCCUAACCCUGCUCCUAACCUAACCCUACCCUUAACCCUACACUAACCCUCCUCUAACCCUACCCCUAACCCUACCCUACCCCUACCCCUACAUCUAACCCUACCCCUAACCCUACCUCUAACCCUACCCCUAACC
Molecule: non-coding RNA, 278 nt
Organism: Pelobates cultripes (western spadefoot toad)
Lineage: Eukaryota; Metazoa; Chordata; Amphibia; Anura; Pelobatidae
Source: the annotation of a GenBank genome assembly